Non-coding RNA from Paramuricea clavata, 212 nucleotides. The record is from the annotation of a GenBank genome assembly. NCBI's taxonomy places the organism in Eukaryota, Metazoa, Cnidaria, Anthozoa, Malacalcyonacea, Plexauridae.
GGGACGAAAACGUACUGAAUAUAUCAGACAAGUCAUUAAAUACCAGUUAAUUUUGUUUAAAUAAUAAUGCUCAGUGAUUUUAAACAUUUUAGCCAUUCUUGAUUACGCGCCGUAGCUUAUACAACUAUAAUAAGUCCGCAAUGCAUGAAAUUUCGUCAGUUUGAGUUUAAGGUGCUCUCCACAGUUUACCAGUAAAGAUCUCCGAUUUAGAC